GGGUUGUGAGGUUAAGCGACCAAGCGUACACGGUGGAUGCCCUGGCAGUCAGAGGCGAUGAAGGACGUGCUAAUCUGCGAAAAGCGCCGGUAAGGUGAUAUGAACCGUUAUAACCGGCGAUGUCCGAAUGGGGAAACCCAGUGUGACUCGUCACACUAUCAUUAACUGAAUCCAUAGGUUAAUGAGGCGAACCGGGGGAACUGAAACAUCUAAGUACCCCGAGGAAAAGAAAUCAACCGAGAUUCCCCCAGUAGCGGCGAGCGAACGGGGAGGAGCCCAGAGCCUGAAUCAGCAUGUGUGUUAGUGGAAGCGUCUGGAAAGGCGCGCGAUACAGGGUGACAGCCCCGUACACAAAAGCGCAUAUGCUGUGAGCUCGAUGAGUAGGGCGGGACACGUGGUAUCCUGUCUGAAUAUGGGGGGACCAUCCUCCAAGGCUAAAUACUCCUGACUGACCGAUAGUGAACCAGUACCGUGAGGGAAAGGCGAAAAGAACCCCGGCGAGGGGAGUGAAACAGAACCUGAAACCGUGUACGUACAAGCAGUGGGAGCCUCUCUUUAUGGGGGGUGACUGCGUACCUUUUGUAUAAUGGGUCAGCGACUUAUAUUCUGUAGCAAGGUUAACCGCAUAGGGGAGCCGAAGGGAAACCGAGUCUUAACCGGGCGUUAAGUUGCAGGGUAUAGACCCGAAACCCGGUGAUCUAGCCAUGGGCAGGUUGAAGGUUGGGUAACACUAACUGGAGGACCGAACCGACUAAUGUUGAAAAAUUAGCGGAUGACCUGUGGCUGGGGGUGAAAGGCCAAUCAAACCGGGAGAUAGCUGGUUCUCCCCGAAAGCUAUUUAGGUAGCGCCUCGUGAAUUCAUCUCCGGGGGUAGAGCACUGUUUCGGCUAGGGGGCCAUCCCGGCUUACCAACCCGAUGCAAACUGCGAAUACCGGAGAAUGUUAUCACGGGAGACACACGGCGGGUGCUAACGUCCGUCGUGAAGAGGGAAACAACCCAGACCGCCAGCUAAGGUCCCAAAGUCAUGGUUAAGUGGGAAACGAUGUGGGAAGGCCCAGACAGCCAGGAUGUUGGCUUAGAAGCAGCCAUCAUUUAAAGAAAGCGUAAUAGCUCACUGGUCGAGUCGGCCUGCGCGGAAGAUGUAACGGGGCUAAACCAUGCACCGAAGCUGCGGCAGCGACACUUUAGUGUUGUUGGGUAGGGGAGCGUUCUGUAAGCCGUCGAAGGUGUCCUGUGAGGGGUGCUGGAGGUAUCAGAAGUGCGAAUGCUGACAUAAGUAACGAUAAAGCGGGUGAAAAGCCCGCUCGCCGGAAGACCAAGGGUUCCUGUCCAACGUUAAUCGGGGCAGGGUGAGUCGACCCCUAAGGCGAGGCCGAAAGGCGUAGUCGAUGGGAAACGGGUUAAUAUUCCCGUACUUGGUGUUACUGCGAAGGGGGGACGGAGAAGGCUAUGUUGGCCGGGCGACGGUAGUCCCGGUUUAAGCGUGUAGGCUGGUUUUCCAGGCAAAUCCGGAAAAUCAAGGCUGAGGCGUGAUGACGAGGCACCACGGUGCUGAAGCAACAAAUGCCCUGCUUCCAGGAAAAGCCUCUAAGCAUCAGGUAACAUCAAAUCGUACCCCAAACCGACACAGGUGGUCAGGUAGAGAAUACCAAGGCGCUUGAGAGAACUCGGGUGAAGGAACUAGGCAAAAUGGUGCCGUAACUUCGGGAGAAGGCACGCUGACACGUAGGUGAAGUGAUUUACUCAUGGAGCUGAAGUCAGUCGAAGAUACCAGCUGGCUGCAACUGUUUAUUAAAAACACAGCACUGUGCAAACACGAAAGUGGACGUAUACGGUGUGACGCCUGCCCGGUGCCGGAAGGUUAAUUGAUGGGGUCAGCGCAAGCGAAGCUCCUGAUCGAAGCCCCGGUAAACGGCGGCCGUAACUAUAACGGUCCUAAGGUAGCGAAAUUCCUUGUCGGGUAAGUUCCGACCUGCACGAAUGGCGUAAUGAUGGCCAGGCUGUCUCCACCCGAGACUCAGUGAAAUUGAACUCGCUGUGAAGAUGCAGUGUACCCGCGGCAAGACGGAAAGACCCCGUGAACCUUUACUAUAGCUUGACACUGAACAUUGAGCCUUGAUGUGUAGGAUAGGUGGGAGGCUUUGAAGCGUGGACGCCAGUCUGCGUGGAGCCGACCUUGAAAUACCACCCUUUAAUGUUUGAUGUUCUAACGUGGACCCGUGAUCCGGGUUGCGGACAGUGUCUGGUGGGUAGUUUGACUGGGGCGGUCUCCUCCUAAAGAGUAACGGAGGAGCACGAAGGUUGGCUAAUCCUGGUCGGACAUCAGGAGGUUAGUGCAAUGGCAUAAGCCAGCUUGACUGCGAGCGUGACGGCGCGAGCAGGUGCGAAAGCAGGUCAUAGUGAUCCGGUGGUUCUGAAUGGAAGGGCCAUCGCUCAACGGAUAAAAGGUACUCCGGGGAUAACAGGCUGAUACCGCCCAAGAGUUCAUAUCGACGGCGGUGUUUGGCACCUCGAUGUCGGCUCAUCACAUCCUGGGGCUGAAGUAGGUCCCAAGGGUAUGGCUGUUCGCCAUUUAAAGUGGUACGCGAGCUGGGUUUAGAACGUCGUGAGACAGUUCGGUCCCUAUCUGCCGUGGGCGCUGGAAGACUGAGGGGGGCUGCUCCUAGUACGAGAGGACCGGAGUGGACGCAUCACUGGUGUUCGGGUUGUCAUGCCAAUGGCACUGCCCGGUAGCUAAAUGCGGAAAAGAUAAGUGCUGAAAGCAUCUAAGCACGAAACUUGCCCCGAGAUGAGUCUUCCCUGAGACUUUGAGUCUCCUGAAGGAACGUUAAAGACGAUGACGUUGAUAGGCCGGGUGUGUAAGCGCAGCGAUGCGUUGAGCUAACCGGUACUAAUGAACCGUGAGGCUUAACCUUACAACGCCGAAGCUGUU
Molecule: ribosomal RNA, 2933 nt
Filed under: Salmonella enterica subsp. diarizonae serovar 47:k:z35
Lineage: Bacteria; Pseudomonadati; Pseudomonadota; Gammaproteobacteria; Enterobacterales; Enterobacteriaceae
Description: 23S ribosomal RNA
Rfam family: Bacterial large subunit ribosomal RNA
Source: RNAcentral